Molecule: ribosomal RNA, 301 nt
Filed under: uncultured bacterium
Lineage: Bacteria
Description: partial 16S ribosomal RNA
Rfam family: Bacterial small subunit ribosomal RNA
Source: RNAcentral
CAGCAGCCGCGGUAAUACGGAGGGAGCUAGCGUUGUUCGGAAUUACUGGGCGUAAAGCGCACGUAGGCGGUUAUUCAAGUCAGAGGUGAAAGCCCGGGGCUCAACCCCGGAACUGCCUUUGAAACUAGAUGACUGGAAUCUUGGAGAGGUCAGUGGAAUUCCGAGUGUAGAGGUGAAAUUCGUAGAUAUUCGGAAGAACACCAGUGGCGAAGGCGGCUUACUGGCUCGAAACUGACGCUGGGGCGCGAAAGCGUGGGGAGCAAACAGGAUUAGAUACCCGAGUAGUCCCUGUCUCUUAUAA